GUCAGAAGUGAAGCAGCUUCUUGAUCUUGUGGAGAGUCCAGACUAUAAACUGGAGGAUCUGAGGCCAUGGGUCAGGUAACAUUAACCAGGAGGUUGUGUGGUGUGAGAGGAUGAGCUGUGUCCUGAUGAUCCAGAGGUUGAAGCAGCAGCAGCUUGUGUGGACAGAGACUCUGACUGCAGAUAAAUGCUGAUGUUGAUGAAGAAGUGAGCAGCUCAGUCACAAACAUUCUUCUCCCAGUGAUGCAGCCAGUGUUCAGUUUCUCUCACUCAGCAGAUACAUGUGUUUGUGCUCCUGCUGCUCUAUGGACUCCACUGAGUCAACAUCUAAAACUAUUUGGACUUUUCUGUUGGGUUUCAGUGGAGGUGUGUAUGUGCUGGAUGCUUGAACACAAUCAGCUGAUAGGUGUGUAUGUGCUAUGAUUGGUGUAUUCCUGCUGCGGCCGUAGAAAUAAAAUAGGAACAUGUCAGAUGGAAUCAGCCUCCAAUCAUCAUGUGAUGACUCUUCUGAAAGGAGAACUUCAUCUUUACAGACUCAUGUUGGACGUGUUCUGUUGUUUCCGUACUGAGGCACAAAGAUUCAUGUGUUUUAAAUAUUUAAUCACAUUAUGUAACUAUGUACUAGAGUCAGAUCAUCACUGACCUACAUUAAAUAAAACACACAAUACAUUUGUAGUCAUUACAGGAAACAGCCACUAGGGGCGAUGCAGCAUCUUAUCAUCAUAAUCCAUGUAGUGUUUUUUAUUGAUGUUUAAAUUUCUGCAUAAUUGGGGGCGUGGUCUCCUUGAGUGACAGAUGUGAGCUGUCAGAGGUCACUAGCUACUAGCCACUGUUACAAUUAAUGAGGCAACAUGUGAAUAUUUGUAUUAAUAUUCUGUCUAAAACUAACAUGUUACAAGUCGUUCACUCCAGAAACAGACAGAUCAUGAUCAUCCAUAUAUUCUUGUAUUUGAGAAGAAACUGCAUAAAGUAAUAAAACGUUUAUUGAUACAGACACUCUGUCCUCUGAUUAUCAGAUACAACUAAUGCAGUACAACAACCUGCAAUAAGUAUCAUCCUCAUGAACUAAACACAUGCAUUACUCAGUAAUCUGAGUGUGUGUGUAGUUUCUCUCCAGUUGAUCCAGACAGGCUGCAGGGAUGUUCAACAUGAGGAGAUGAACUAGACUCUAACAGGACUUCCAGUCUCUACAGUCAGCAUUUCAUCACUUCAUCACUGAUUUCUUAUUCCAGUCCACAUGUGUCACCUUUAGUGUUGAUAUUUUCCUGGGCUGGAUCAGACUGUGCAGGUAAAUUCAGGACAUCAUGAGAAAACAGUGUUUCACUCUGGCCCUGAGAGGAACCAGACCAAUGUGGUCAGCAUCAAACAUGAAGAGUAUCCCAAACUAAAGCAGAGGAGAAACAACACAUGCUUCAGAGUGAUCUGAUUCUAAGGGAGGAAGACUUGAAUGAAGAACAUGUUGUAGAAAUCAAUUAGAAACUGGAGACAGAAAAGAGUGAUGCAGAAAUGAAUCUUUGAAAUGAUGAGAAUAAAGUGGAUUCUUUGACUGGAACAGCAGCGUGUUAGUGUGACUUAGUGAAGACUCAUGGAGUGAUGAUGAUGGAACAAACAGUCAAAGCUUUAAGUUGAGUGAAAGGAACAGGAUCUGUUAGAGGAGCUUCCUCCUGAACAAUAAGACUGACAUUAAAUGUGACAUGGAGACAGGGAGGUUUAGCUCCAUGAAAUGACUGAUGAGCUGAUAACACAGACAUGGGUCCCACACUGUGCUCGUAUCUGGAAAACAGCUCUGACACAAACGCAGCUGAUGCCACUUUACUACCAACGUGACGUCGACCUGUUGUCAGCUGUGCAGGGAGGCAGCGCUAGGCUGCUCAGCUGGAUGCUAACCAGUCUCUUUGGACCGAGUCUGCUUCUGUUCUGGUUCUGUUCCUGUGCUGCUUUCUCCAUCUGAAUGCUGAAGAAUCCCACUGUGACCUGGGAGUCCACGUGAACAGCUGUUUUACCCCAUUACCCCUGUGUAGAAAUAAAAGUAGCUUCAUCUGUUUGUUCACUUCUACAGAUCUCUUUCCAGAGUUGAUAUCAGCUGCUGUGCUGUCCUUGAUCAUUUAUAAGGUUGGAUCAGACAUUACAGAGAAAAGAGGAAGGAUUCAUUCCAGGAACUACAUUUAUGGACAGUUUUAGCUCAAUGCUAAAUGCUAACCCAUCACUCACUCUACUGUCCACUGGUUAAACAUGUGUCAGGUGAACUGCUUCUAAACAUCUGGGAGCUCUGUGACCAAAACAACUUUGAUCCUAAAUACUCAACUACAUGUGAAUGAACAGGUCGUACGUCUGGAUUUAGACCAGAGAGUCCAGAAUUUAAAUGUCCUGUCCAGAUUAUUUGUCCUCCUUUUUGGAGUUGCACGUGAACGUUACGCAGCAUAUUGACCAACUAAAAGUGGUGUCAUCGUAGCAUCAGAAGGUUUUUAACAUGCUGAACAGACGGAGCUCAUACAACAGUGAGUGGUCAAAAGAACACACAUUUAUUAGCUCCAGCAGUGAGGACGACCUGCAUGCAUUUUCCACGUUAUGUCUGACUUUAUUUGUGGAGGUGAAGGGAUUCCCAGAGUGGUGGAGGAGGAGACAGCGCCGUCUGGUGGCUCCUAGAGGAGCUGCAGCUCAUCAAAGUCAGUCCAUUCAAAGAAUCAGUGGGAAAUAGUGGAAACCUGGGUCCCAAAAUUGAAACCUUUGUGGAAAAUAUGGAAAGGGUAUUUACUAAAAAACAAAAGGACAAAUGUGUCUGUGGGGAUUUUAACAUGUUGAAACACAGCAUUUAAGAAUGAUUUAUUAAAUUAUAACUGGUAGAGUGGAACUGAUCACCGUGUUCAAGCUGAACUGACGUUGUUUGUGGAAAGAGUAGAUGAAGGGAUUCCCAGUGGAUGAGGAGACAGCGCCUCUAGAGGAAGUGCAGCUCAUCAAAUUCUAUCAGAGUCAAGUCAGAAAAUCUUUGGGACGUGUUCAGGAAAUAGACGGAUCCAGUAAGGAGCUGCUUCUCCCAGUAAAUACAUCGAUCCAGUGUGUAGUUCAGGGACCUCUAAAUGUUUCUAAGAAAUACACACAUCUGUGAUAAAGGUAGGAUAUACCAGUGUCUACGGUGUGUUCACUGUCUGUGGUGGCUUUGCUGACUGUAAAAACAGUUGGACAUUCCAGUGUGUGAGGUGAGUUCAUUGAUUUUCCUGUGCUGCUACCUGGACUCAGUGAGGGAGGUGGGUGACAGGAGAGUCCUGGCUAAACUGUCAUCCAUGCUGGACAAUGAGCACCACCCCUGCAGGGUGACCUGACACCACUGAGGAGAAGCUUCGGUGACAGACUGCUUCACCCUCGCUGUGUGAAGGAACGAUAUAGAAGGUGUUUCCUUUCCUGCUGCUGUUAGGCUCCACAAUGUGUAAUAUUACUAUUACUAAUAUUAUCACUAUGUUGUACUGUGUACAACCCUGUGCAAUAUACAACAAUCACUAUCUGUUUGCAAUUCACAGGAUAUACCACUCUGCUGCUUAAGAUGACGAUGUUUAUCAGGGUUAACUUGAUGUGGAAGAUGUUUUCUUGGCUGAUGAGUCUGGGAAGGAGCGAUGACCCAAGAAACCUGAGUUUAAGCCGAGCUUUAGGCACUGACAAGAGCAGCUGGUCAGCUGACCUGAGUGAGCAACUGGGAGUGCAGGGAUGCAGCAGCUCAAUAAGAGACACUCACUUCAGCACCGGACAGCUCCUCUGAACCCUCGAAAUGAGGCUAACACAAGGAGAGGUCACUUUAGCACUGGACAGCUCCCCUGAACCCUCGAAAUGAGGCUAGCACAAGGAGAGGUCACUUCAGCACUGGACAGCUCCUCUGAACCCUCUCUGGUGCCAUGUUAACACAAGGAGAGGUCACUUCAGCACCGGACAGCUCCACAGGAACAACUUCAUCUUCUCAUCUUGAGCCUUUCGUCAUGCUUUAGGACUUUAGGACAUGCUCCUCUCACAGUAUUCCUUCAACCUAUUGACAGAAGAGAAAAAAGAUCUGCGUUGACAACCUGAAGUGGACAGGUUUCUAUCAAUAACUUUUUCUGCACCAGAUGAGACCCAGUUUAUAGAGCUUCCAAGACAAAGGAAGUGGAAACAAAACACAAACCUUGUCACCAGAUAAAAAUGUUCAACUUGUGUCGUGCUUGUCAAAUCGACCUUUCAGCACAUGAGUACGGCGUAGUCUAAACCUGAAACUGCUCACAUAGAUCUUCAAUUCAUUUUCGGUGUUUUCACACAGACACUUUUUACGUAAACUUUUCAGAGGACCUCAGACUGUAAAGGCAAACACCAACUCACGUAGUCUAAACCAGAGAUUUCUAUACCACCUCCCUUAUGGCCAACAUGUAUAAAUGAACUCCCUCAUCCUAGUCUUUGUGAAACUCCAGACUAUAAGUGUGUAACAUGGUUUUAAUUGUCUGGUGAAAGCGUUCAAAUGCACCCUGCAGAAUCUGGUCUGAUCCUGUAUUCAUUCAUCCAUUCAUUCAUUUGAUAUAUUUCAACAGUACAAGUAAGUAAAACAGUCUACAUCACAAAUGACCUGCAUAUAAUAGGAUCUAAUAAUUCAAUUACUUUCAACAGAAGACGUACAGGUUAAAUAUUCAGAUUCAUUCAUUGAUGCUCAAAAAUUAGUAGGAAGAAGAAGACUUAUUUCAGCCCUCCACACGUUUUCAGGUGAGUAUCAGGUCAUUAACUCGAGACUCUAGUCAUGUGAUCUUCAGGUAGACUACACCCACAAAUUUUCCUGAUAAAAACCUAAACUCCCUACCAGUCACUCUGAGGUGGUGGAAUCGUCUUCAAAAUAACAAAUUAGUCCAGUUGCCCUUGUUUUCUGAAGAAACCCCCAUCCAGGCCCACCUAAGCUUUGCUAAAACAUAGGCCACAGGAGGGGGUGGGACUGGUUUACCACCAUACUCUGAUUACCCUCCACCUCCACAGGCUCCAGGGAGCAGAGUCAGCCUUCUUCACCAGUCUGUUCAGUCUCUGUUUGAGAACCUGCUGCUCCAGCAGACCACUUCAUAGUAGAUGGCGGAUGAAGGACCUAAGAGGACUUAGCAGAUAGAGUCUGCUCUGGUCUUUCCUAUAGACUGCCCUCGUGUGGCCAGUCCAGUCCAGUUUGUUGUUCAGGGGAACACCCAAAGUUUCAGGUGACUCCUCAGUUUGUUAGAUCAGACUUCUUUCACCAGAAUGACCUGGCCAACAAAGGCAACAACACCCAUCCACAGACAACACACAAAUAACAGCAAUCAUGAAAUAAGCCUUAAAAUAGAAAUGCAAACUCUUUAUCAGAUAAAAUGCAGGAGUGAUGACUGGUAACAAUUUAAAAACACAGACACUGUUGAAUGGAUUCUCACUGUUGGUCUUUGAGUAUAGAGAGAAAGGUCUCAAAUGAGAUAAGUUCAGUCAUUUUCAGACUGAAUGGGAUUCCAAGCUGAAGGGGCAGAGAAAUUAAAAGCUUUUUUCUCAGUUCAGUCCGAACACGAGGAACAGCUCGGUGCAAAGUGUUUGGUCUUAAGGUGUACACAAUCUAGUGGUGGUGAGUUCACUGACUGAGAUAAAUGAUUCAUAAACCAGUGUCUGUGGUGAGUUCACUGACUAUAAACGCAGUAGAAAAGUCACUGUCUGUAAAAACAGUCAGACUAUUAGUUUUGGGUUAAAUUAGUAUAAAUCAUGAAAAUAAACUUUCUAAACCUUAGAUUUGGGAAACUUUUUAAUAUUUGACUUCAGCAAAUGUGAUAUUUCUAUUAGACUGAAAGAAUCCACUUUAUUCUCAUCGUUCAUUUAAAAGAUUAAUUUAUAAAUCAUUCUUUUCUAUCUUCUUCUUCGUUCCAGUCGUCCUCCCUUAGAGCCAGAUCACUCUGAUGCAUGUGUUGUCAUGGUUUAUGCCUGUCUUUUAUUUUGUGAUCAUGUUUUGAAGUUUGGAGUGUUUUAUUUUGUCAAGUUUCUGGAUUUCCUGUCUGUGAAAAUCCUUGUGGUUUUUCAUGUCUGUGUGUGUCAUGUUUUGUGUUUCCUGUUUUAUUUCGUUAUGUUUCUUAGUUUCCUGCCUGUCUUGCUUCGUGUUUCUGUCACGAUUAAGUCUUGUAUCGUGUUGUAUUUCCUGUUUUAUUUUGUUAAGUUCUGGGUUCCUGUCUAUGUUCCUUGUGUGUCCCUUGAUUGUUUAUUGGUCUCACUUGGUUUGAUUGCCCUCAUGAGUUUCACCUGUGUCUUCUUCCUGAGCCCUCUUGUGUAUUUAUAGCCCUGCCUUCCCUUUGUUCCUGGUCGUGUCGUUGUGUUACCUACCUGAUGUUAUUUCGUCCCCAAGCCAUGUUCCUUGUUUUCCAUGCCACAUUCAUGAUUGUUUUGAUUUUUGUAUUUUGUACUUACCUGCCUCAACGCAGCGCUUUUUGUUAGUUAUUAUAAAAAAGAAAAACCUUU
RNA transcript from Mugil cephalus (flathead mullet), 6450 nucleotides. It is a transcript of the gene named serine/threonine-protein kinase 17A-like, with no coding region annotated. The record is from RefSeq and is a predicted model, not a curated record. The transcript is spliced from 3 exons. NCBI's taxonomy places the organism in Eukaryota, Metazoa, Chordata, Actinopteri, Mugiliformes, Mugilidae.